GGGAUCAACACAUGAGUACAAGCAGCACACAAACUCAAAGCCGCCAUCCUCCUCCUGGUCCAGCAUCUUCAGCCACGCUAACCACUGCUGUCCUCCUUGCCCCCUCUCAACCAUCCGCCCCUCCGUCUCUCGCCUUGAGCAGUUCCUGCUCAUCUGCCCACAGUCAGGUGUCUGUCAAGGACAUGUUUGAGAAUAAGAAGCCAAUGUCAGAA
This 212-nucleotide long non-coding RNA is filed under the name Pelobates cultripes (western spadefoot toad). Lineage: Eukaryota; Metazoa; Chordata; Amphibia; Anura; Pelobatidae. The record is from RNAcentral.